This is a long non-coding RNA of Raphanus sativus (radish), 833 nucleotides long. RefSeq lists it as uncharacterized. NCBI's taxonomy places the organism in Eukaryota, Viridiplantae, Streptophyta, Magnoliopsida, Brassicales, Brassicaceae. The record is from RefSeq and is a predicted model, not a curated record. The transcript is spliced from 2 exons.
GUUGCAUUCCAAGGAAAAAAAGUCUUCGUGGAAAGAGAGAGAGAGGGAGAGAGAAAAAGCGGAUCUAGGUUUUUUCCGGCGUGCGGCCGGCGCGUUAGCGGUCGUACCGCCGCCGGACACCGAGCCUUUGUUUUUUUUUGUUUCUAUUUCUUUCUUCUUUGCCUUUCUACCAACAACCGCUUUGUUUGACCUCUGGUUCCGGUUACAUCGUUAGUGGUGACUCGGCUUUGGAGUGAUGACGCGGUGGACUGGGGGCUCACGGUGGAGAAAGAGCGACGUGCAUGUUCAGUAGUGGUGAUGUCACGGGGGAUGGAGGCUAACACAGAUCCGUCGACGCCGGCUUUACUGCGGGGGAGGGGGCUUGUUCAGCUCCUCCGAUGCCGCUCAAGUUUUCCGGGAAGGGGAGUCUUACUCAGAUCCGUUUCUUCGCCGGCUUUUGGCUCCUGGGCAUGGAGGCUACCAUAGCUUCGAGUUUUUCGGUUUGUUCUUGUCGGCUCGAGCUAAAGUUGGAUGGAGCAGAUGAGUUCUCUAAAGGAGAUGAAGCUCUCCGUAGAUGACGAGUCGCCGACAAAAGAAGUUAGUGGAGGUUGUGUUAACGGGAUGUUCAGACGUUGAAGAGGCUGCGUUGUGGUUUUCGGUCCGGUGUGAUCCGGCAAAAACGAAGAGAUUGCGUGCGUGGUGGUUCACGGUCCGGUGGGAUUUGGUGAAGAUGGACGGGUUGAGCGGUGGCUGUGUGGAUGACGUCGUUUUUCCUAGGGUUUUCGGUUGUUGGGCUUGAGCCCACUUAUGUAUUUAGCCAGCCUUUUCUUUUGGGCUUUUGUUUGCUUUUGUAA